Molecule: ribosomal RNA, 458 nt
Filed under: uncultured bacterium
Lineage: Bacteria
Description: partial 16S ribosomal RNA
Rfam family: Bacterial small subunit ribosomal RNA
Source: RNAcentral
CCUACGGGUGACAGCAGUGGGGAAUAUUGCACAAUGGGGGAAACCCUGAUGCAGCGACGCCGCGUGAGUGAAGAAGUAUUUCGGUAUGUAAAGCUCUAUCAGCAGGGAAGAAAUAGCGACCUUUGGGUCGCCAGACGGUACCUGACUAAGAAGCCCCGGCUAACUACGUGCCAGAAGCCGCGGUAAUACGUAGGGGGCAAGCGUUAUCCGGACUGAAGGGGUGGAAAGGGAGCGUAGACGGCAGCACAAGUCUGAAGUGAAAUGCCGGGGCUUAACCCCGGAACUGCUUUGGAAACUGUGCAGCUAGAGUGCAGGAGAGGUAAGUGGAAUUCCUAGUGUAGCGGUGAAAUGCGUAGAUAUUAGGAGGAACACCAGUGGCGAAGGCGGCUUACUGGACUGUAACUGACGUUGAGGCUCGAAAGCGUGGGGAGCAAACAGGAUUAGAUACCCCAGUAGUC